CCGUGGCCUAAUUACCCAGUUCGGAAGUGAAAGCAGGAAAACAAGACAACGAAAAACUCACAAGAGAAAUAAAAAGCUGAGAUGAGGACAUUGUAUUUGUUACUUGCACUUGGUCUGUUGUGUGCAGUGGUAUAUUCAAUACCAGUCGAAAAUGAUCAACCCUUGGAAAACGAGUUGAAAGAAGAGAAUGAUGAAAAUGGUUUGGAAGGAAACGAUGAAGACGACGUCGUUGGCGAAGUUCAGGCAGAUCCUUUGGCCUACAUUAGUUUUCAGCGCAUGGGCAAACCGUUUCGCAGAAGACGUAGACGUAGAAGAAGACGUUCUUAACUUGGAUAAAUACCACGUGAUGAUCAGCAAAAGACUGGACACACUGAAAUGAAUGGACAACAUUAAAAUGAUAACUUUUUAAAUUAGUGGCCAUUCUUUCCAAAGUGUAACUGCAGAAUCAUUAAAAAUCAUGCAUUGACUA
Molecule: long non-coding RNA, 469 nt
Organism: Dendronephthya gigantea
Lineage: Eukaryota; Metazoa; Cnidaria; Anthozoa; Malacalcyonacea; Nephtheidae
Exons: 4
Source: RefSeq, a predicted model, not a curated record